Molecule: long non-coding RNA, 2761 nt
Organism: Lontra canadensis (Northern American river otter)
Lineage: Eukaryota; Metazoa; Chordata; Mammalia; Carnivora; Mustelidae
Exons: 4
Source: RefSeq, a predicted model, not a curated record
GCUUUCCCCCUCCCCUUCAGUGCGACAAUCUCAGAGCUGGUGGAGAAGCAGAGCGUGUGCAGCUGGAUAAAUUCGUAGACGUGGAAUUUCUGGAUCAAAUGGAGGAGAUUGGACAAUUGAGAGAGCCCUUGGAAGAGGGGAAGAGGGGAAGAGGGCUUCGUUACCAGUGUGUAUUUGCCACCUAGUGAUCAUAGUGAGGGAGAAGAGGCUGGACCUUCGGUCCUUGUCAUUCAAACCCGUUCCACAAGCAGGCAGAAAGGCCACACACUGAGAGUCGAGCCUUGGGAUGCAGACUCCGACAGCUCUGAUGACGUGCUGAUCCAUGUGCCAGAAGAGGAAAGCAGCACAGAAGAGCUUAUCUCCAGACAAAACCCAAGUGUCUUGCUUCUUUCCCCAUAUCUGCUGUGAUGACCGGCACUUGUAUUGACGCAUGCUUGUGUUCACCUUGAGAUCAGAGAGAAAUAGAAAUUAAUUGCCCACUAAUCAUGAUUGCUGAUGCAAAAUUAGGAAAAUACCAACAAGCUUCAGUUUACUUCGUGUUUUAUUUGAGUGAACAAACCAAUGGUCUGGGCUGUCCUAAUACUCCCUUCCCUGCCCCCAGUUUUCCCCAAAAGCUCAUGACUCCUUCCAACAGAAAUUCCUCUACAGCGAGGGUUUCAGGAACUCAACUCUCAUACCCAGGGAGGGCAGUUACUCUACUUCGUUGCACAAUCUGAUUUUGUACUCUCGAUCCUGAUAUUUAUUUUAAUUCUGUUUAAGCCUUACUUGCUCUUUCAGCAGAAAGAAUCCAGACCCUUGCCCUUUACCUGGUUUGGUAUCAGUGAACUUGCUUUGCAGCGGUUGUAUGAGGUAGCUAUGGGUCAGUCUCGAAGGGCAGUGCAAUGACAAUGGACUCCUGCAUUUACUCUGGCAUCUAAUCGAGGAGUAGAAGUUGCUAGAGUUCAUUUCCAUUGAUCUCUGUUCUCAUAUCUGGUCUUCCCAGGAAUCUGAACAUCUGGAUAUCCUCCGGGAAAGGGGUUCUGACUGAAACUUCUUCUUCCCUGAGGGUAGUGGAAAUCCAAUAAUUCCCCCCCACCCCCGGCCUGGAGGUCUGAAUGAUAGCCUAGCUAUACUUGAGUUUGAAGUGAGCAGAGGAAAGGGGGAAAAAAUACAAAAGUUAAAAGGGCUUGCUCGCAUAGUUACAGUUGAGAUGACAGAUAUUCCUCAAUAGGUUCAAAAGAGGCAGAUGAGACUUGAAAACUCGUUUUCAGGUGCUGUGGUUCUAGAGACCCCCACCCCCCACAGUGCCAGAGAAGCCUACACGCCUGCUCUAAGCCAUAGCAGUUCUCAGCGCAUCCAGAUCAUGUUAGGGAGCUUUGAAAAAUACAGAGUUCUGGGACCUGCCCCUAGAUGUGCUGAAUCAGGGAUGGGGUCAGCAUCUGUAAAUUUUGAAAGCUCCUCAACUGUUUUUUUUAUACAGCCAUGGCUGCUAACUGCUGCUCUAAGUCUAAACAGAAUUGUAAUAGAAAAUACAAUGCAAAUGGUGGUGGGCCCAGGAUCUAGGGAAACUUUAUUCCAAAUUUUGGCUUUACCACUAGCUCAAUGGAUGGUCUUAUUCAAACCACCCUACUCUUUCCUUACCCAUCAAAUGAGAGAUUAGGACCACUUGGUCUCCAAGGUCCCUCUAUCUCUGACAUUGUUACUUUGAGAGAAAGCUUCUUCAAUUUUCUUGAUUGACUUUGAGUGUACCUAAGCCCUUUCAUAGAGACCAAGGUAAGUAGUAGUGUUGCUGCACUGUGUUCUUGAUGUUUUAAAAAUGGUGGCUUCUGGUUCAAGUUUGACCAUGGUUUAGUCCCUUCCAGAAAAGAGAGUUAGGCAUAGAAAACAAAGAACAAACAUAACAUCAAUUUCCUGAAAGGAAAGACAGAGGGGACCUCCUAUGAGUUUAUUUGUAGUAAUUGUUCUUUUUCUUCUGAGUUACAGGGCUUGGGGAAAAUAAUAGAUAUUAUGAGGAAAACACCUUAACAUGUUGUAUCUAUUGUUUUCAUAAACCAAAGCAGAGAGAAUUCUGUGUCAGGGUUGCUGUUCCAAGGUUCCAUGGAUAAUUGGUGUAUUCUUAAUCAUACCUAGAGGUAAAUAGUUUUAAGUCAAUGAUUAUUUUACCAGUUUAAUCAAUGGUUCCAUAUGCCUUUAGAGAAUGUAGUUUCCUGAUAAAUUUUACCAUUCAUUGAGAUUACUGCCUUGGAAUUUUUUCUCUUAAUUUGACUAGAAUUAGAGAAAUCAAAUUUAAGUUGGAGAGCAUCACCUGGGAACCAUUAAUAUAAAAUAAUACAAUGGGAAACUGACUACUGUAUGGAUUUAGUUGUCAUAGGGAUGCCUAGACUUUGACUUGAUAGAUGCAAACUUUUGUUUAGGGACCAGGCCAUUUGAAAUACAUUACUGAGAUAAAUUUAAUUCUUGUUUAAGGUAAUACCCAGUUAAAAUAAUCUAAGAAGUAUCAUUGAUGAGGCUAAAAGCCAGAACAUUUCAACAUGGCUGAAUUUAACAAGUCAGCAGAACUUACAGGUGAAUUUGAAAGUUGGUAUGGGCAAAGUGGUAGAAAUAGAAGUGCAUGUAACUGGGUGUUUCUUUUUUUCCUUUUUCAAAUUAAGAAUAGUCCCCAAAAUUGACAAGCUGAAAUUUCUUUUAGAAGAUUUUAUACACAAUUUGGGUGGAAUCAAAUGGUUCAGGUAAAUUCUUGGGUUCAGUGUUACAAAGUGCCUAGCAGUUUUCUUCUUUACAU